GAUGAACGCUGGCGGCGUGCCUAAUACAUGCAAGUCGAGCGAACGGACGAGAAGCUUGCUUCUCUGAUGUUAGCGGCGGACGGGUGAGUAACACGUGGAUAACCUACCUAUAAGACUGGGAUAACUUCGGGAAACCGGAGCUAAUACCGGAUAGUAUUUUGAACCGCAUGGUUCAAAAGUGAAAGACGGUCUUGCUGUCACUUAUAGAUGGAUCCGCGCUGCAUUAGCUAGUUGGUAAGGUAACGGCUUACCAAGGCAACGAUGCAUAGCCGACCUGAGAGGGUGAUCGGCCACACUGGAACUGAGACACGGUCCAGACUCCUACGGGAGGCAGCAGUAGGGAAUCUUCCGCAAUGGGCGAAAGCCUGACGGAGCAACGCCGCGUGAGUGAUGAAGGUCUUCGGAUCGUAAAACUCUGUUAUUAGGGAAGAACAUAUGUGUAAGUAACUGUGCACAUCUUGACGGUACCUAAUCAGAAAGCCACGGCUAACUACGUGCCAGCAGCCGCGGUAAUACGUAGGUGGCAAGCGUUAUCCGGAAUUAUUGGGCGUAAAGCGCGCGUAGGCGGUUUUUUAAGUCUGAUGUGAAAGCCCACGGCUCAACCGUGGAGGGUCAUUGGAAACUGGAAAACUUGAGUGCAGAAGAGGAAAGUGGAAUUCCAUGUGUAGCGGUGAAAUGCGCAGAGAUAUGGAGGAACACCAGUGGCGAAGGCGACUUUCUGGUCUGUAACUGACGCUGAUGUGCGAAAGCGUGGGGAUCAAACAGGAUUAGAUACCCUGGUAGUCCACGCCGUAAACGAUGAGUGCUAAGUGUUAGGGGGUUUCCGCCCCUUAGUGCUGCAGCUAACGCAUUAAGCACUCCGCCUGGGGAGUACGACCGCAAGGUUGAAACUCAAAGGAAUUGACGGGGACCCGCACAAGCGGUGGAGCAUGUGGUUUAAUUCGAAGCAACGCGAAGAACCUUACCAAAUCUUGACAUCCUUUGACAACUCUAGAGAUAGAGCCUUCCCCUUCGGGGGACAAAGUGACAGGUGGUGCAUGGUUAUCGUCAGCUCGUGUCGUGAGAUGUUGGGUUAAGUCCCGCAACGAGCGCAACCCUUAAGCUUAGUUGCCAUCAUUAAGUUGGGCACUCUAAGUUGACUGCCGGUGACAAACCGGAGGAAGGUGGGGAUGACGUCAAAUCAUCAUGCCCCUUAUGAUUUGGGCUACACACGUGCUACAAUGGACAAUACAAAGGGCAGCGAAACCGCGAGGUCAAGCAAAUCCCAUAAAGUUGUUCUCAGUUCGGAUUGUAGUCUGCAACUCGACUACAUGAAGCUGGAAUCGCUAGUAAUCGUAGAUCAGCAUGCUACGGUGAAUACGUUCCCGGGUCU
Molecule: ribosomal RNA, 1372 nt
Filed under: uncultured bacterium
Lineage: Bacteria
Description: bacterial SSU rRNA
Rfam family: Bacterial small subunit ribosomal RNA
Source: RNAcentral